GAGACGCUACCGGCCGGAGCAGAUUUCCCGGUGCAUACACCCGCUACCACCCGGUGUUUACACACCUCAGUCUUCUUCCUACUGACCCGCGACACCAUUGGACCCCGAGUUCCCCUAGCGGUACGAGACGCUGACAUCGCUGGAAUCUCUGGGACUCAGAUAGUGCUGGAUGACAGAGGUACCCCGUACAUCAAGCCCUCUGUGUUGAGUAUGCAUCAACAAACUGUUUGAGUAGCGUGCAUCUCAGUAGUCGCCCUACUAUUAGGAGCGGUAUACAGAUUAUCUGAACAUUACAGAGUGCAUUUUAGGAAACUAAUUAUAAAGAUAUUGCCCUGUAAGUGACAACGUUAUUUAUACAUUGUAGCACGAUCGCCAGUAAGAGGACUGUAACAUAGGUAUCACAUCGGAAUAUAGGGAAACUAACACCGGUACACAGCUACGUACCUUAAAGUGACCGAUCACCGCCGUAAGGAGUUCACAUUGAGAAAAAUAAGUGAAAUAUAUGUACCCCUGGAGGUGCAACAAACAUCAUAAUAAAUACUACAAUUGAUCAAUUCCACCAUUCCCUCUCGGGAGGGUUCCAUACAACUGACCAGGAAUCAUCAGUAUAUCUCAGUAUCCAUCCUUGUGAUUACAACAUAAUAUCCUCAGAACGUCGUCAGUGGCUAGAGGAGGUCACAUGACUCCACCCCUUGACAACGCACGGCUAGUUACCAUCCAGUUCUCUCCACUUCUUUCCACUACGAGCGAACCUUGCUAAUGUGAUAGGCUGAAAGUAGUCACUUGACCCGUGGCCCUGAUGGCACAUCCUUGACAACUCAGCUCCUGCUUACACACGAUCAGAGAACCGCCGCAUGAGUUCUGACACUGUUUGUUUAUUUACAUUAUGCACACAGCGAGCCUCACUCUCAUGCACUACUACCGGU
Molecule: long non-coding RNA, 926 nt
Organism: Hyla sarda
Lineage: Eukaryota; Metazoa; Chordata; Amphibia; Anura; Hylidae
Exons: 3
Source: RefSeq, a predicted model, not a curated record